Molecule: transfer RNA, 75 nt
Filed under: Podarcis lilfordi (Lilford's wall lizard)
Lineage: Eukaryota; Metazoa; Chordata; Lepidosauria; Squamata; Lacertidae
Description: tRNA.Lys
Rfam family: tRNA (bases 9-68)
About the family: Transfer RNA (tRNA) molecules are approximately 80 nucleotides in length.
Source: RNAcentral
ACCUGUGGAUAGCUCAGCUGGUAGAGCAUGAGACUCUUAAUCUCAGGGUUGAGAGUUUGAACCCCACUUUGGGCA